Molecule: RNA transcript, 2221 nt
Organism: Rhipicephalus sanguineus (brown dog tick)
Lineage: Eukaryota; Metazoa; Arthropoda; Arachnida; Ixodida; Ixodidae
Exons: 3
Source: RefSeq, a predicted model, not a curated record
AUGUGGUUUCGCAUGCUUGCCAAUCAGACUGAGGAGACCUUCGUGACAUUCCUGGAAAAAGAAGACAAGUCACUAGCCGUGCGGGAAAUGGACGUCUCCUACUGCAUCGUCGCCAAUCCCGACACACUGCUUCAGUGCAUACGACGGUGCACUAUGUUACGCAAGCUGUACUGCGUUGCGUGCCCGUUCAAGGCGAGCGAUAUGUUGUCACUGCUGCUCCAACUGCCAUUUCUAACGCGUCUGCAUUUCUCCCUCGUAGCGGAGCACGAUCUGGCCGGUGAUAUGACCAGCAUUCUCGCGCAAUACGCGCAGGGUCACACAGCUUCCAGUCUCCGCAACAUAUAUGCCGAGGUGAGGGACGACAGCAACUUCGCACUUCUCGAGGCUUUCGUGUCUUGCUGCCCGAAUCUGUCCGAUCUGCAUGUGCACUUCAUGCGCGGGCAGUUGUCGCACGCGGUUCUAUACUGCGAGGAAAUCAUCGAAGCUCUCUCAACGGUUAAGAAUUUCACCUUCUCCUCGGAUGUUCCGGCGUGCCUACAGCUGGAAAUACCCGCGGCGUUGGACCUGAAGACUUGCUUACAGAUAUGCUCAAACGUGGUUUAUGGCAAGUUGCGCUGCCGUAACUACAAUUGCGCGCAACUCGCCGAUCUUGCAUCCGGUAACAGUCACGCUGACUUGCCGCCGCAGCUUGUAAUCCUAGCCAUUUACAAACCCGAGCUCCUGGCUCAACGUAUCCGCACGGCCUGCCGAAUGCUCCGCUGGACAUCGGUGAGUCGUCUCUGUCUCGUCCUAGUUCCGCAAGAGCCGGAGUGUACGGACUACCCGACGGUCGGCGUCGAAUUCCUUCCCUGUCUUCGCGAGUUCUUCGUUACUGCAGUGAGCAACUUGCUGGAGCUCAACGUCAACUCCUUCCACUUCGGUCUCGACCUCGACCUCACAACACUGAUGCUAAAUGCCAAUAUGAAAACUCUCAGGGCGAUCUCCGCUCCGCCUUGCGGGCUACGCCAUCCGUCCGUGCUUCAGCGCCUCGUCCACAGCUGCCCGGCACUCGAGGAACUGGACGUGCGCGUGUACCACCGAGCUAGCUUAGUCCGCUGCGUUGUUUGCGAAAGCCCGUUUGCCCUGCACGCCGACGACGUGGCCUUCCUGAACAGCGACUCUCCUCGCAAGCAGUUCCGGAUCACCCUAUGCGACUUGCCGAGACUGGAGUCUUUGAGGUUUCUUCACCGCUGCAGUGUGACAGAUCUGCGGCUCUUAAACUGCCCCGAGACGGUGCGUGAAGAUUAUGCGUCUCUGGCAAUGAUGCUUCCUCACAACAAUAACCUCCGGUAUCUCCAGCUCCAGCAGGAAUGGUUGCCACUCUGCGAUGAGUCCUUCAUAACUAACCUGACCUGCCUGCAGAGCCUUGAAUACGUGUGCUUUUUGACGGGCGUCUUUGCAUCGGAUGAGUUUGUAGAUAGCUUCCUGCACGGCUUGGACAUCCUCAUGCGGAACCUGAAGGUAGCGCACGUACACUACCGCCGGCCACCAGAAGGCGCCGAGCAACGGGUCACGUGGAUGAGAAACGCAAGCUGGCCACGCCUGGAAAGAGGACGCGGUCCUGUUCUUCGAGACCGGCCUUGCGUUCUGUGCUCCACAGCAACGUUCAUAGGCCUCGCGAAGCCACCAACCACUCAAAUUAAUCUCGCCCCGUAGCGUAGGCCAUUUGUGCGAUCAGCUCUAGAAUUGCAAGUUUCUAGCAUUUAGAUUAUGAAGCCUACUAUUUUGUGCUGUCAUUGAAACAUUUCAAAAGUAUUGUUUAAGUAUAGCAUUUUAGCCUGUGACGAUAAUGAACCAGUCAGCUGGGGCUCUUUAUAAAUUGACGUAGUGCUGCUAGCACAAAUAUCUCCACACUAACAUGACAUCUGAGUCGACAAACAUUCAAGGUCCAGUAAAACUUCUUGUGCGGAUUGCUGUUGCAAAAACUUACCACAGUUCAACCCUGCGUGAAAUCCUCAGAAACAGCCGUGCUGUGCUUCUCCUGUGUUUGCCUUGUGUUUAUCUACGAUUUUCUGUGAUGCUUUGUGAUUUUGUGUGGGUGUCUGUGCUUACGGUGUUUCUAAGGUAGAGAUGCAGGAAAGGGACCUGUGGCAGCCCAUGCCACACCCACGACUUCUAGUGUUACUUUAGGCCCUAUUUACGCUCAUGUCCUCCUUCGCCGUUUCAUUGUGUAAUUACCCCU